CAUGUGCGGCAUCUUUCUGAACUCCCCCAGCUAUCCGAGCUUCCACAAUACCAUCCAGACUCCUCCAGCAGUCGAUCUUCCACAGUGUCCUCCAGAUUCCUCCAAUGGAUGAACUCCUAUCGUGCCAUCUAGACUUCUCCAAUAAUGAGCUCCUCCAUUCAUCUACCAGACUGCUCCAAAUGCACUCUAGGCUUCACUAUCAGCCAAUUUUCUACAGUGAUCAACUACUCUUCGAAUCUCUUCUAAACUUCCUCCCAUCACUAUCGACUAUGCUUCGAGCUUCUUUCGGACUUCGUCAAUGUCAGAGCUUCUCCAGCAGCAGGACUUUUAUAGUAGUCAGACUCCGUCCAAGU
This 353-nucleotide long non-coding RNA is filed under the name Elaeis guineensis (African oil palm). RNAcentral's name for it is "long non-coding RNA (EGUI_LNC057910)". Lineage: Eukaryota; Viridiplantae; Streptophyta; Magnoliopsida; Arecales; Arecaceae. The record is from RNAcentral.